RNAcentral lists this ribosomal RNA (301 nucleotides) under uncultured bacterium. Its description in RNAcentral is "partial 16S ribosomal RNA". It matches the Rfam family "Bacterial small subunit ribosomal RNA", at positions 509 to 807 of the family's 1533-position model. The record is from RNAcentral.
CAGCAGCCACGGUAAUACGUAGGGUGCGAGCGUUAAUCGGAAUUACUGGGCGUAAAGCGUGCGCAGGCGGUUAUAUAAGACAGAUGUGAAAUCCCCGGGCUCAACCUGGGAAUGGCAGUGGAUACUGGCAAGCUAGAGUGUGUCAGAGGAUGGUGGAAUUCCCGGUGUAGCGGUGAAAUGCGCAGAGAUAUGGAGGAACACCAGUGGCGAAGGCGACUUUCUGGUCUGUAACUGACGCUGAUGUGCGAAAGCGUGGGGAUCAAACAGGAUUAGAUACCCCUGUAGUCCCUGUCUCUUAUAC